RNAcentral lists this ribosomal RNA (225 nucleotides) under Triticum aestivum (bread wheat). RNAcentral's name for it is "partial small subunit ribosomal RNA". The record is from RNAcentral. Lineage: Eukaryota; Viridiplantae; Streptophyta; Magnoliopsida; Poales; Poaceae.
AUGUGGCACAGCGCCAUCGACUGUGUCCUUCCCCAUCUUCCCCUAGUGCCUCAUGGUGGAAUCCAAGGGAGGGCCAGGCCAUUCACAGCCACCACCCCCUCAGUCCGUUCAGCACCGCCAACCAAGGCCGUUCAACGAGGGGUCGUUCAAAACCAGCGGUCAGAAGCUUUCCACUCGUUUUCUUCUGUCUCUUUAACAUUUUUUUCAAUUUUGGGGACUAGUUGA